This 3028-nucleotide ribosomal RNA is filed under the name Salmonella enterica subsp. enterica serovar Typhimurium. RNAcentral describes it as "23S ribosomal RNA". It matches the Rfam family "Bacterial large subunit ribosomal RNA". The record is from RNAcentral. Lineage: Bacteria; Pseudomonadati; Pseudomonadota; Gammaproteobacteria; Enterobacterales; Enterobacteriaceae.
GGGUUGUGAGGUUAAGCGACUAAGCGUACACGGUGGAUGCCCUGGCAGUCAGAGGCGAUGAAGGGCGUGCUAAUCUGCGAUAAGCGCCGGUAAGGUGAUAUGAACCGUUAUAACCGGCGAUACCCGAAUGGGGAAACCCAGUGUGACUCGUCACACUAUCAUUAACUGAAUCCAUAGGUUAAUGAGGCGAACCGGGGGAACUGAAACAUCUAAGUACCCCGAGGAAAAGAAAUCAACCGAGAUUCCCCCAGUAGCGGCGAGCGAACGGGGAGGAGCCCAGAGCCUGAAUCAGCAUGUGUGUUAGUGGAAGCGUCUGGAAAGGCGCGCGAUACAGGGUGACAGCCCCGUACACAAAAGCGCAUGUGCUGUGAGCUCGAUGAGUAGGGCGGGACACGUGGUAUCCUGUCUGAAUAUGGGGGGACCAUCCUCCAAGGCUAAAUACUCCUGACUGACCGAUAGUGAACCAGUACCGUGAGGGAAAGGCGAAAAGAACCCCGGCGAGGGGAGUGAAAAAGAACCUGAAACCGUGUACGUACAAGCAGUGGGAGCCCCACCACCAAAGCAUUCUCUGGUGUUGAAGGCCCUGCAAAGCAGCAUCGCGGUGGCGGAGCGUCGUUUGCGACGCCCAACACACAAAACAAGCGGUGAAUGCUUUGGGGUGGGGUGACUGCGUACCUUUUGUAUAAUGGGUCAGCGACUUAUAUUCUGUAGCAAGGUUAACCGAAUAGGGGAGCCGGAGGGAAACCGAGUCUUAAUUGGGCGUUAAGUUGCAGGGUAUAGACCCGAAACCCGGUGAUCUAGCCAUGGGCAGGUUGAAGGUUGGGUAACACUAACUGGAGGACCGAACCGACUAAUGUUGAAAAAUUAGCGGAUGACCUGUGGCUGGGGGUGAAAGGCCAAUCAAACCGGGAGAUAGCUGGUUCUCCCCGAAAGCUAUUUAGGUAGCGCCUCGUGAAUUCAUCUCCGGGGGUAGAGCACUGUUUCGGCUAGGGGGCCAUCCCGGCUUACCAACCCGAUGCAAACUGCGAAUACCGGAGAAUGUUAUCACGGGAGACACACGGCGGGUGCUAACGUCCGUCGUGAAGAGGGAAACAACCCAGACCGCCAGCUAAGGUCCCAAAGUCAUGGUUAAGUGGGAAACGAUGUGGGAAGGCCCAGACAGCCAGGAUGUUGGCUUAGAAGCAGCCAUCAUUUAAAGAAAGCGUAAUAGCUCACUGGUCGAGUCGGCCUGCGCGGAAGAUGUAACGGGGCUAAACCAUGCACCGAAGCUGCGGCAGCGACACUGUGUGUUGUUGGGUAGGGGAGCGUUCUGUAAGCCUGUGAAGGUGUGUCGUGAGGCAUGCUGGAGGUAUCAGAAGUGCGAAUGCUGACAUAAGUAACGAUAAAGCGGGUGAAAAGCCCGCUCGCCGGAAGACCAAGGGUUCCUGUCCAACGUUAAUCGGGGCAGGGUGAGUCGACCCCUAAGGCGAGGCCGAAAGGCGUAGUCGAUGGGAAACGGGUUAAUAUUCCCGUACUUGGUGUUACUGCGAAGGGGGGACGGAGAAGGCUAUGUUGGCCGGGCGACGGUUGUCCCGGUUUAAGCGUGUAGGUGUGUGUUCCAGGUAAAUCCGGUUCACUUUAACACUGAGGCGUGACGACGAGGCACUACGGUGCUGAAGCAACAAAUGCCCUGCUUCCAGGAAAAGCCUCUAAGCAUCAGGUAACACGAAAUCGUACCCCAAACCGACACAGGUGGUCAGGUAGAGAAUACCAAGGCGCUUGAGAGAACUCGGGUGAAGGAACUAGGCAAAAUGGUGCCGUAACUUCGGGAGAAGGCACGCUGACACGUAGGUGAAGUGAUUUACUCAUGGAGCUGAAGUCAGUCGAAGAUACCAGCUGGCUGCAACUGUUUAUUAAAAACACAGCACUGUGCAAACACGAAAGUGGACGUAUACGGUGUGACGCCUGCCCGGUGCCGGAAGGUUAAUUGAUGGGGUCAGCGUAAGCGAAGCUCCUGAUCGAAGCCCCGGUAAACGGCGGCCGUAACUAUAACGGUCCUAAGGUAGCGAAAUUCCUUGUCGGGUAAGUUCCGACCUGCACGAAUGGCGUAAUGAUGGCCAGGCUGUCUCCACCCGAGACUCAGUGAAAUUGAACUCGCUGUGAAGAUGCAGUGUACCCGCGGCAAGACGGAAAGACCCCGUGAACCUUUACUAUAGCUUGACACUGAACAUUGAGCCUUGAUGUGUAGGAUAGGUGGGAGGCUUUGAAGUGUGGACGCCAGUCUGCAUGGAGCCGACCUUGAAAUACCACCCUUUAAUGUUUGAUGUUCUAACGUGGACCCGUAAUCCGGGUUGCGGACAGUGUCUGGUGGGUAGUUUGACUGGGGCGGUCUCCUCCUAAAGAGUAACGGAGGAGCACGAAGGUUGGCUAAUCCUGGUCGGACAUCAGGAGGUUAGUGCAAUGGCAUAAGCCAGCUUGACUGCGAGCGUGACGGCGCGAGCAGGUGCGAAAGCAGGUCAUAGUGAUCCGGUGGUUCUGAAUGGAAGGGCCAUCGCUCAACGGAUAAAAGGUACUCCGGGGAUAACAGGCUGAUACCGCCCAAGAGUUCAUAUCGACGGCGGUGUUUGGCACCUCGAUGUCGGCUCAUCACAUCCUGGGGCUGAAGUAGGUCCCAAGGGUAUGGCUGUUCGCCAUUUAAAGUGGUACGCGAGCUGGGUUUAGAACGUCGUGAGACAGUUCGGUCCCUAUCUGCCGUGGGCGCUGGAGAACUGAGGGGGGCUGCUCCUAGUACGAGAGGACCGGAGUGGACGCAUCACUGGUGUUCGGGUUGUCAUGCCAAUGGCACUGCCCGGUAGCUAAAUGCGGAAGAGAUAAGUGCUGAAAGCAUCUAAGCACGAAACUUGCCCCGAGAUGAGUUCUCCCUGAGACUUUAGGUCUCCUGAAGGAACGUUGAAGACGACGACGUUGAUAGGCCGGGUGUGUAAGCGCAGCGAUGCGUUGAGCUAACCGGUACUAAUGAACCGUGAGGCUUAACCUUACAACGCCGAAG